Molecule: long non-coding RNA, 507 nt
Organism: Passer domesticus (house sparrow)
Lineage: Eukaryota; Metazoa; Chordata; Aves; Passeriformes; Passeridae
Exons: 3
Source: RefSeq, a predicted model, not a curated record
AAGCCUUGCAAGUAUUUAUUACAUCCACACUUACUUUUACCAGAUAAGCCUGUCAUCUCAUCAAAGAAUUUUCAACAAGACCUGUUUCCAGGAUACUACAGCAGUUAAUGCAUCUAAGCUCUUUUGAAAACAUGCCAGAGCUUCUAAGUGUAUUUAAACCAUAUAGGUACGUGGAUGAAAAAUGUCAGGUUUGCAGGCAAUUAGAUAUAAUGCUAAACACAUACUGACCUGCCUGUGAUGUUCUGCUCUAAUUCUGCGGGAAGAAGUGGUGGCAGCCAUUGCUUCAAACCAUUAGUCUUCAUUUGAAAGAGUGGGGGAUGCAUAUCAAUACUUGUAAUCACCUUUGUGGCACCAGGGAGGCAAAGCUGUAAAAAGUAAGUACUUUCGUAAUGCUGAUAGAGACAGGAGAAAAGAAUUUUACUGUGUCCUCUGGCCAAGCUCUCUUAGGCCCACCAAAUAAAAUUACUGUUAUCAGUCACAUAAAUUUUGAAUGGACCCUGAAAUCAG